Small nuclear RNA from Grammomys surdaster, 107 nucleotides. Lineage: Eukaryota; Metazoa; Chordata; Mammalia; Rodentia; Muridae. The record is from RefSeq and is a predicted model, not a curated record.
GUGCUCACUUCAGCAGCACAUAUAAGAAGAUUGGAAUGAUUUAGGGAAGGUUAGCACAGCCCCUGUACAAGGAUAACUUGCGAAUUUGUGAAAUUCCAUAUAUUGUG